Long non-coding RNA from Gigantopelta aegis, 373 nucleotides. RefSeq lists it as uncharacterized. The transcript has 2 exons. The record is from RefSeq and is a predicted model, not a curated record. Lineage: Eukaryota; Metazoa; Mollusca; Gastropoda; Neomphalida; Peltospiridae.
UCUCUCUCUCUCUCUCUCUCUCUCUCUCUCUCUCUCUCUCUCUCUCUCUCUCUCUCUCUCUCUCUCUCUCUCUCCCUCUCUCUCUCUCUCUCUCUCUCAUAUAAUAUAUAUAUAUAUAUAUUACUUCCAGUGCUGUAGAACUGUAGAUAUAACCCAAGACAUACUACUGUUAGAGUGCGGAGUGUACUGUUUGUAUAUACAUAUGAUUGUAGGUUACUGGUGAUACUACUGUUAGAGUGCGGAGUGUACUGUUUGUAUAUACAUAUGAUUGUAGUGUACUGGUGAUGUUAGAUGUAUUUACAAUGAUCACUUGGAGGAACACAACAUUAAGCUAUGCAGAUAUAUUAUACAAUAAUAAAUAAUGCUUAACAUG